CGCCUCUUGAAUUUAUAUAAGAGGUCCAGCCUGCCCAGUGACCCUGUUCAACGGCCGCGGUAUCCUAACCGUGCGAAGGUAGCGUAAUCACUUGUUCUUUAAAUGAGGACUAGUAUGAACGGCAUCACGAAGGUUAUACUGUCUCCUUUUUCCAAUCAGUGAAUCUAAUCUCCCCGUGAAGAAGCGGGGAUAAAACUAUAAGACGAGAAGACCCUAUGGAGCUUAAAACAAUACAGCACUUGCUAAAAAAUUUAACAAUUCCAGAAUUUUUCAUUUUAUAAGCAACAUGACUGUAAGUUUUUGGUUGGGGUGACCACGGAGUAUAACACAACCUCCACGUUGAAAGAAUUUUAUUCUAAGCCAAAAAUUACAUUUUUAAGCAUCAAUAAAUUGACAUCUAUUGACCCAAUACUAUUGAACAACGAACCAAGUUACCCUAGGGAUACAGCGCAAUCCACUUCAAGAGCUCCUAUUGACAAGUGGGUUUACGACCUCGAUGUUGGAUCAGGGUUUCCCAGUGGUGCAGCCGCUACUAAAGGUUCGUUUGUUCAACGAUUAAAACCCU
Molecule: ribosomal RNA, 565 nt
Filed under: Peltophryne taladai (Cuban spotted toad)
Lineage: Eukaryota; Metazoa; Chordata; Amphibia; Anura; Bufonidae
Description: partial 16S ribosomal RNA
Rfam family: Bacterial large subunit ribosomal RNA
Source: RNAcentral